UAACUUCCAGGUGGGCGAGGUUGCCCUGCGCCGUUUCGAGGGCGGCGCGGGCCUGGUCGAUCUGUUCCGGGCGGGUGCCGUUGG
This 84-nucleotide transfer RNA is filed under the name compost metagenome. Its description in RNAcentral is "tRNA-Ser". The record is from RNAcentral.